CCUACGGGUGGCAGCAGUGGGGAAUAUUGGGCAAUGGGCGCAAGCCUGACCCAGCAACGCCGCGUGAAGGAAGAAGGCUUUCGGGUUGUAAACUUCUUUUAAGAGGGAAGAGAAGAAGACGGUACCUCUUGAUUAAGCUACGGCUAACUACGUGCCAGCAGCCGCGGCAAUACGUAGGUGGCAAGCGUUGUCCGGAUUUACUGGGUGUAAAGGGCGUGUAGCCGGGCUGAUAAGUCAGAUGUGAAAUUCCGGGGCUCAACCCUGGAUCUGCGAUUGAAACUGGUGGUCUUGAGUAUCGGAGAGGCAGGCGGAAUUCGUGGUGUAGCGGUGAAAUGCGUAGAUAUUAGGAGGAACACCAGUGGCGAAGGCGGCCUGCUGGACGACAACUGACGGUGAGGCGCGAAAGCGUGGGGAGCAAACAGGAUUAGAUACCCGAGUAGUC
This 442-nucleotide ribosomal RNA is filed under the name uncultured bacterium. RNAcentral describes it as "partial 16S ribosomal RNA". It matches the Rfam family "Bacterial small subunit ribosomal RNA", at positions 338 to 795 of the family's 1533-position model. The record is from RNAcentral.